Molecule: long non-coding RNA, 305 nt
Organism: Papilio xuthus (Asian swallowtail)
Lineage: Eukaryota; Metazoa; Arthropoda; Insecta; Lepidoptera; Papilionidae
Exons: 3
Source: RefSeq, a predicted model, not a curated record
AUGCCAAAAGUUAUUUAGUACAAAUAAAUAUCAAAUGUGUUAAGCAGAAAUUUUAAAGAAGUGAAAUUUGAUGAUUAUAUCAGCGGCCAUACUUCUCUCUCAUAUCAAACAGGUCUUCAACAAUACUGAUUUGCAUCAAAGUUUCCAAUGUCCAGUAAUCCAAAGGGGGCAAACAAGUGGCGGGAACACCAAGGUGAUCAACAACACCCAAUGGAUAAUUUCAACACCAGAGGAAGUGCAGAUGCGUUGCCAACCUUUAAGGAAAUUGUAUGCUCGCUUUUUGAAUUGUUAACAUUGUUUACUAU